Non-coding RNA from Trametes gibbosa, 95 nucleotides. NCBI's taxonomy places the organism in Eukaryota, Fungi, Basidiomycota, Agaricomycetes, Polyporales, Polyporaceae. The record is from the annotation of a GenBank genome assembly.
UCCCGUUUAGCUCAGCUGGUAGAGCGCGUCACUAGUACGAGCGCCUUGUGUGUCUUGUAAUGACGAGGUCAGUCGUUCAAGUCGGCUAAUGGGAA